GCCUAACCUAACACACAAUAAAUAACCCAUUGUUCGCCAAACAACUACGAGUAAAAACUUAAAACUUAAAAGACUUGACGGUACUUCACACCACCCUAGAGGAGCCUGUCUAAUAACCGAUACUCCACGAUUAACCCAACCCACCCUAGCCACACAGUCUAUAUACCGCCAUCGCCAGCCUACCUUGUGAAAGAAACAAAGUAAACACAACAGCCACCACUAAUACGAUAGGUCGAGGUGUAACUAAUGGGAGGGAAAAAGAUGGGCUACAUUUUCUAACACAGAAAACACGAAUUAAACUAUGAAAAUAGAAACCGAAGGCGGAUUUAGCAGUAUGUUAAGGACAAACUGCUUAACAGAAAUAAAUGCAAUGAAGUGCGUACACACCGCCCGUCAUCCCUGUAAAAAACAAUAAGACUUCAUAAACACAAAGAACCAACUAAACAGGGCAAGUCGUAACAUGGUAAGCGUACUGGAAAGUGCGCUUAGAAA
RNAcentral lists this ribosomal RNA (492 nucleotides) under Opisthotropis lateralis. RNAcentral's name for it is "partial 12S ribosomal RNA". It matches the Rfam family "Bacterial small subunit ribosomal RNA", at positions 875 to 1520 of the family's 1533-position model. Lineage: Eukaryota; Metazoa; Chordata; Lepidosauria; Squamata; Natricidae. The record is from RNAcentral.